GGAAAAUGCAGAAGUUGUUUUCAUUCUGUAGAGAUGAAUAACACUUAAUACUUGUAAUUUAAUUUAUCUCAAUCUAUUAUUUUCUAAAUAUUGGAAAUAACACUUUAUAUAUUUAUAGAAACAUAAAAUGUUAGGGCAAAACAAAUCCAAAUAAUGUCUUAAUUUUCACUGUUUUAGGUUCACAAAGCCAGUUUCUCAUUCAUAUGCAAGAGAAGGGAGAGGUUUUGCAGUACAAAGGCCUUUGCUCUUACAGAGGAAUCAACAUGAUAAAAUCAGAUAUUCGGCAUCUUUUUAACCAUGCUGAAGAAAUGAUGGGAUUUAGCGCUCUGGGACUUAACCCCAAUUACAGUCUCUGGAAUAUUUCAGGUGAAGAAUUGUGCCUUAACCUCACAUUCAACAAUCACUUGUUCUUGAUUACAAUCACUUUGAAAGGAUGUAAGUUCAGUGAAAAGAUACCUCAUAUCACGUUUUCUAUUAGUUGGUUUUCUUGUUACUGUCUCAUUUUUAUUUUGGUGACAAAACAUAUCAUACACACAAGUCUUCUUACAAUUUUCCAUCCAGAUAAAAGAUAUAUAUACAAUUAUGAUAUGAAAUAGACUAUCAUAGAUGAUUGUUGCUGGCCAACAAUUAAUGUCUCAGGGAAAAUAAGUAAAAAAUAUUUAAAAGAAAUAAAACAAAUUGUCUGCUUCA
Long non-coding RNA from Coturnix japonica (Japanese quail), 690 nucleotides. The record is from Ensembl. NCBI's taxonomy places the organism in Eukaryota, Metazoa, Chordata, Aves, Galliformes, Phasianidae.